RNAcentral lists this ribosomal RNA (647 nucleotides) under Euplotes vannus. RNAcentral's name for it is "LSU rRNA". It matches the Rfam family "Eukaryotic large subunit ribosomal RNA", at positions 49 to 685 of the family's 3401-position model. Lineage: Eukaryota; Ciliophora; Spirotrichea; Euplotida; Euplotidae. The record is from RNAcentral.
AGCGGAGGAAAAAGAAACUAAAUAGGAUUCUCUUAGUAAUGGCGAAUGAACAGAGAUCAGUUCAGAUUGAAAAUCGAGGGCUUGCCCUUGAGUUGUAAUCUUCUGUUCCAUUCCCAGCUGAGGCGGAGGCGUGAGUCUCUUGGAAAAGAGCUCCAUUGAGGGUGAAAGUCCCAUAUGUCACCUUUAGUUCCCAGUGUACGGGGUGCAUCUUAUGAGUCACACUCUUCGGGAUUGGAUUCCAAAUCGGGUGGUAAAUCUCAUCCAAAACUAAAUAUAGGUCUGAGACCGAUAGCAAAGAAGUACCGUGAGGGAAAGGUGAAAAGGACUUUGAGAAGAGGGUUAAAAGUGUUUGAAACUGCUGGAAGGGAAGCGAAUGGAACCUGUAUUCUUCGCAAGAUUGCCUUUUGUCUCGGUGUCAACUUUUCGACUGCAGCGCAAGCGUGGUUGAGGAUGUUGGUUGCUUGGAUGGAGGUGCAUCCUGCUUGGAUGCUCAGAGAUGCGUCGUUUUCAGUGAAAACUCUCUUCAUUUGCACCUUGUUCUUACGGGAAUGGGGAGGUGUCGAGCUGAAACUGAUGAUGGUGUUUCUUUGGGUAAAGGGUUUUAUUCGACCCGUCUUGAAACACGGACCAAGGAGUCUAGCACAUGU